RNAcentral lists this ribosomal RNA (360 nucleotides) under Triticum aestivum (bread wheat). Its description in RNAcentral is "partial small subunit ribosomal RNA". Lineage: Eukaryota; Viridiplantae; Streptophyta; Magnoliopsida; Poales; Poaceae. The record is from RNAcentral.
AUGGCCAUCUACACCGGAAUAAACAAGACGCCAUUGACGAAAUUUUGCAGAAUCAUGUUUCUCAAACAAACGAGGGUUCAUCUUCAAGUCCACGCUCAGUACACUUUCUUCCGUGACCGGCGAGGUCGGAACUCAUAUACACUUCCUGACCGACAAGGCGGGAUACAUCACGUUCGUGACCGACGGGGCCGAACUAUCCAUUUUGUUUCUUUGAGACUUGAUCUACAUCCCAUGUUUGAUUGGUGCAUGACAUUCAUGAAUUUCUGGCAUGUCGAGAAUUUAUGUUUCUCAUCGAGUGCUUGCAUGUUUUGUGCCUUGGAGACAGAAGCCAUGAGUUUGAUAAUGAUGAUGACCAUUUGA